UAGGGAAUUUUCGUUCAAUGGGGGGCAACCCUGAACGAGCAAUGCCGCGUGAGCGAAGAAGGUCUUCGGAUUGUAAAGCUCUGUUGCCGGGGAAAAAGGAAGGAAAGAGGAAAUGCUUUUCUUUGGAUGGUACCCGGCCAGAAAGUCACGGCUAACUACGUGCC
This 164-nucleotide ribosomal RNA is filed under the name uncultured bacterium. RNAcentral's name for it is "partial 16S ribosomal RNA". It matches the Rfam family "Bacterial small subunit ribosomal RNA", at positions 355 to 509 of the family's 1533-position model. The record is from RNAcentral.